Molecule: small nucleolar RNA, 150 nt
Organism: Diabrotica virgifera virgifera (western corn rootworm)
Lineage: Eukaryota; Metazoa; Arthropoda; Insecta; Coleoptera; Chrysomelidae
Product: small nucleolar RNA U3
Exons: 1
Source: RefSeq, a predicted model, not a curated record
AACAUCAUACUUCACAGGAUCAUUUCUGUAGUAUAUUUUCACAUACUCUCUACUCAAUUGUGUAGUUAAUAGCUAUCGCAACCAUGAUGACCAGACGGGUGCGUUCGGACGACCAUAGCGGCUGGCGGUCAGCAGAAAUCGCUGAGUGGU